RNAcentral lists this long non-coding RNA (2459 nucleotides) under Homo sapiens (human). RNAcentral's name for it is "non-protein coding lnc-SORBS2-4:1". The record is from RNAcentral. Lineage: Eukaryota; Metazoa; Chordata; Mammalia; Primates; Hominidae.
ACUUCCGGCCGCCUCCGGAUGCGGGGUCAGGGGCGUCGGAAAGGUCACCGCGGCAGCCCGGCGCGCCCCAGCGGGGCUGUUCUGAGGGUGCUGCGAGGUUGCUCUACGUGCGGGAUUCCGCGGGCGGGCAGCCUGCUCUGGAGAGGAAAGGAAGGCGCAUCCGGCUCGGAGCCCAGCUCUGCUGCGCAUCGCUCGCUCCCUGCGCAACUUGCAGCCCCGGGAGGCGGGGCGCGUCCUGGCUCCCGCGGGGUCACAUGGAGCAGCGGGCGCUGUAAUCCAGGGAGGCUUUGGGGACACGUUAGGGAAGUCAGCUACCCGUGUGUGUCCGCUGGCCCACUGGGACACUGGGAGCUCAAUGAGGUGGUUAUGAGCCAGGUAUUUUCCAAAAUACGCACCAGGCACCAGACCGAGGAAGCCGGAGCCCCGGAGAGCACGCAGGGGCGGGUGGGAGAGGAAGGCGGGCGAGGCUGCUCAGCGGGUGCCGGGAGACCGCAGCCGCGGGGUACUCGCAGAAGAGCCAAGACCUGCCACCCAGCCCGGGAAGGGAGGGAAGGGCCGCGAGAGGGUGCCCCAUUUCAGCCUGGGGAGACGCGUGUGCUGGCCGCCAGUCUCUCUUCCCGGCAGAGGGCCCCAGUGCUGACCCCAGCCCCUUUUCCACGCUCGAUGCUUCUUACAAAGUGGCCGGGCGAGGAGUGUCGCUCCCCGAGAGGCCAGGCCCUUCCUAAACACUAAAGUGCCAGGAAGAUGAAACUGAAUGUCCUGGAUGCCCGCUUUGCUUAAUUACUAAUUACGUUCGUUCACUCGAAGCCACUGCAUAAGUUGGCCACAGCCACCUGCAGGGCCUCUUUAGUGCAGAGAAAAACAUGCCUAAGGCUUUUCUCCAUUUGAAUUUGUUUUAAGUCAUCUGCAUGGGCUGACGUGAAAUAGCAAGUGAACAAAACAAGUUGCAGAACGGAGUGUGUAAAGUAAUGCCUUCUUUUGGAGAAAAGGUUUCUUUCUCUACGGCUCCACUAAUGUCUGCAAGUAAAAAUACUGAUCAGCUCUAUGGAGUGGGAAUGAAGAUGGGGAACUUACGCUUUUUAUUUCAUUCACGUCUACAUUGUUUAAUCACUUUAACACUUUAAAAAAUAAAUAUGUUCACUUAGUAUCUUUAAGCAAGUCUCAUGGGCUUUAGUUUCCUCCUCUCUAAAGGGUUGAGGCUGAGCUAUAAUAAGGUUAAUUACAGCUAUAAAAGUAAACAAUUUGUCUACAUACUGGGGAUUCUAAAAUAGGGGGAGGAAGGAAGGGGAGUAAUGGUUGAAAAACUGUGUAUUGGGUACUGUGUUCCCUAUUCAGGUGAGGGGAUCAAUAGAAACUCAAACCUCAGCGUCAGGCAAAUUUAACAAACCUGCACAUGUGCUCUUGAAUCUAAAAUUAGAAAGAAAAAGGGUUUGUCUGUAUCAGUCUCUGCUAACCUCUGUGGAUAAAACCAGGCGGGUAACAUACAACCCCUCCCCUCCAGAAGGAGAGAAGGGAGAUUGCUCUGGGCAGCAGUGAGUCUCGGCCUGGGCAGAAAUGGUCAGAAAUGCUGCAGAGCCAGGAGGGGUAAAAUGAGCUCAGGGGGCAGUGAGGUGCCCCUGCCUGGAGCACAGGGUCCCACGCAGUGACAGGUGCAGGAUGAGGUGGGUGGGUAUGGAGCCAGCUUAAAGAGACCUGCACUGCCAGGCUUAGACGCUUUAUCUUUAUUUUGAAGGCAAUCUGUGGGUAAAGAACAAAAUAAAAGCCUUGUCCCUUUGUUCCCUUAGCCAUCUUUCUUAUGCUUUCUUUGUUACCAGAUAGGGCCUUUCUCAUACUACCCUGGAAUACUGAAAUUUCAGACUAAACCAGUCAGGUGGCUGGGAGUGCAAGAAAUCCUUGGCAAGACCCUUCUCCCCGGAAAGCCUCCUGACAGCAGAGUACACAGUGUCACACCUUAGAAUGUCCACCAUGAAAUGUAAUGGUGCUCAGUGUAGCAGAUGAUUGCAAGGCCAGUGUGAAGGCAAUCUACCCACAACAUUUAUAACUCUGCGGGUUGUCAGCUUCAUGAGCUAUGCAGCUGAGUAGGAAGGCAUCUCCUGACUUUCACUCCUCAAGAUCCAUUCUCUAUGAUGCCCUUCCCACUUGAAAGAGCUUUCUUUAGCCAAGGUCUUUCUUUGAUACUCUGUCCCCCUAAAAAUCAGUGCUUUUGAAAGUCAUGGCCAGAAUAGUAUAAACAACAGAAGGGUUUUAUAAAUGUUAAUACUUUGAUUUCGCAAAUUUUCUGUCACUUGGAAUGAUUCUUAAUACAAAACAAUGUACAUUAUAAAAAUAAAUUCAUAGCUCAGUAUAGAACUACAUUAUCUGCAAACUCUACUUACACACAUCAAAUCAUAAAGGGUAGCAGGAAGUUGUUAUGAAAUUUUGAAUCACAAGUACAAGGAUCAAAUAAAGUAUACAACACU